UCUGUCUCAAAAAAAAAAGACUGACUGCCACGUAAGUGCUCAAUAACUAUUACCUGCCUAUAAUAGCAGAAAUACAAAUAAUAAUAAAAAAAAUACUUUAUAUAGAUAAUGUAUGUAUGCAAUAUAUGUAUGUUAACUCAUUGAAUUCUCACCACCACGCUAUGAGUUAAGUAUACUCACUUUACAGACGAGAAACUUGAAGAACAAAGAAGUUUAGUAAUUUGCCCAAGAUCACACAGUAGCUGGCAUUUGAACUGGGCAUGACACCAGAGCUGGCACUCCUAAUUACCAUGGAGGUACAUAAACUUCACUGUGCAUAGCAACCUUUAAAGGUAGACAUUUCCAUUUUCUGUAUGAGGAACCUGAGGUUCAAAGAAGGGAAGUAAUUUGCUCAAGAACCUACACAACUAACAGGUGCUAGUGUGUCUGGAAUUGGUUGGUGGGUUCUUGGUCUCACUGACUUCAAGAAUGAAGCCGCGGACCCUCGCGGUGAGUGUUACAGUUAUUAAAGGCGGCAUGUCUGGAGUUUGUUCCUUUUGAUGUUCGGAUGUGUUCCGAGUUUCUUCCUUCUGGUGGGUUCGUGGUCUCGCUGGCUCAGGAGUGAAGCUGCAGACCUUCGCGGUGAGUGUUACAGCUCAUAAAGGCACUGUGGACCCAGAGUGAGCAGCAGCAAGAUUUAUUGCAAAGAGAGAAAGAACUAAGCUGCCACAGUGUGGAAAGGGACCUGAGUGGCUUGCCGCUGCUGGCUUGGACAGCCUGCUUUUAUUCUCUUAUCUGGCCCCACCCACAUCCUGCUGAUUGGUAGAGCCGAGUGGUCUGUUUUGACAGGGCACUGAUUGGUGCGUUUACAAUCCCUGAGCUAGACACAAAGGUUCUCCACGUCCCCACCAGAUUAGCUAGAUACAGAGUGUGGAACACAAAGGUUCUCCAAGUCCCCACCAGAGUAGCUAGAUACAGAGUGUCAAUUGGUGCAUUCACAAACCCUGAGGUAAACACAGGGUGCUGAUUGGUGUGUUUACAAACCUUGAGCUAGAUACAGAGUGCAGAUUGGUGUAUUUACAAUCCCUGAGCUAGACAUAAAGGUUCUCCACGUCCCCACCAGACUCAGGAGCCCAGCUGGCUUCCCCCAGUGGAUCCCGCACCCUGGCUGCAGGUGGAGCUGCCUGCCUGUCCCACGCCGUGUGCCC
RNAcentral lists this long non-coding RNA (1187 nucleotides) under Homo sapiens (human). RNAcentral's name for it is "LHRI_LNC891.1". The record is from RNAcentral. Lineage: Eukaryota; Metazoa; Chordata; Mammalia; Primates; Hominidae.